UUCAGGUCCUGAUUGGUGAAAUAGUGUUGUUUGACACGCAACGACCCAAACGGCGUUCCAUAGAAAUCCCUGGUUGAGAAUGAAACAACUGAACAACGAAACAGCACAGCAAAGCUCCUUGGUCUUCAUGGUGCCGCUUGCUUGAUGGUGCCCUUUGCUGAGUGGUGUUGCAGACUCUGGGGCCUUUCAGAACAGUAUGCUCUCUCUCGGAGGAGGAGGAGGACCUGCGCCCUAGGACCAUGCCUCAGGACUACCUGGCAUGAUGACUCCUUGCUGUCCCCAGUCCACCUGGCCACGCUGCUGCUCCAGUUUCAAUUGUUCUGCCUGCGGCUAUGGAACCCUGACCUGUUCACCGGAUGUGCUACCUGUCCCAGACCUGCGGUUUUCAACUCUCUAGAGACAGCAGGAGCGGUAGAGAUACUCUCAAUGAUCGGCUAUGAAAAGCCAACUGACAUUUACUCCUGAGGUGCUAACCUGUUGCAUCCUCGACAACUACUGUGAUUAUUAUUAUUUGACCCUGCUGGUCAUUUAUGAACAUUUGAACAUCUUGGCAAUGUUCUGUUAUAAU
This is a long non-coding RNA of Oncorhynchus tshawytscha (Chinook salmon), 568 nucleotides long. The record is from Ensembl. Lineage: Eukaryota; Metazoa; Chordata; Actinopteri; Salmoniformes; Salmonidae.